UGAAUACGAGAUGCUACGGCGUCGAAGCAGUCUAUGUCAUACUUCCAAGAAAAGCUUGCACUGUCAUAAACAAAUAAUGCCUGUACCAUAACCGACACAGGUGGGUAGGUAGAGUAUACUAAGGGGCGCGAGAUAACUCUCUCUAAGGAACUCGGCAAAAUGACUCCGUAACUUCGGGAGAAGGAGUGCCUUAUUUAUAAGGUUGCAAUAACAAGAUCCAAGCAACUGUUUACCAAAAACACAGGUCUCCGCUAAGUCGUAAGUCGAUGUAUGGGGGCUGACGCCUGCCCAGUGCCAGAAGGUUAAAGAAGUUGGUUAGCAUCCGCGAAGCUGAUAACUGAAGCCCUGGUGAACGGCGGCCGUAACGAUAACGGUCCUAAGGUAGCGAAAUUCCUUGUCGGGUAAGUUCCGACCCGCACGAAAGGCGUAAUGAUUUGGAUACUGUCUCGGAGAGGGGCUCGGUGAAAUAGACUUGUCUGUGAAGAUGCGGACUACCUGCACCAGGACAGAAAGACCCUAUGAAGCUUUACUGUAACCUGAAAUUGAAAUUGGACUUUACUUGCGCAGUAUAGGUGGGAGGCGUUGAGAAUAUUCUUGCGGGAUUAUUGGAGCCAUCAGUGAGAUACCACUCUUGUAAUGUUAGAUUUCUAACUUUGUAUCAUUAUCUGGUCAAAGAACAGUUUCAGGCGGGCAGUUUGACUGGGGCGGUCGCCUCCUAAACGGUAACGGAGGCGCACAAAGGUUUCCUCUGAACGGGUAGAAAUCGUAUCUAGAGUGUAAAGGCAUAAGGAAGCUUGACUGUGAGACCUACAAGUCGAGCAGGGACGAAAGUCGGUCUUAGUGAUCUGACGGUGCUGAGUGGAAAGGCCGUCACUCAACGGAUGAAAGUUACUCUAGGAUAACAGGCUGAUCUCCCCCAAGAGUUCACAUCGACGGGGAGGUUUGGCACCUCGAUGUCGGCUCAUCGCAUCCUGGGGCGGUAGUACGUCCCAAGGGUUGGGCUGUUCGCCCAUGAAAGCGGUACGCGAGCUGGGUUCAGAACGUCGUGAGACAGUUCGGUCCACAUCCGGUGUAGGCGUUAGAAUAUUGAGAGGAGCCUUCUUUAGUACGAGAGGACCGAGAAGGACAUACCUCUGGUGUACCAGUUAUCGUGCCAACGGUAAACGCUGGGUAGCUAUGUGUGGAGUGGAUAACCGCUGAAAGCAUCUAAGUGGGAAGCCCACCUCAAGAUAAGUA
This 1236-nucleotide ribosomal RNA is filed under the name metagenome. RNAcentral describes it as "bacterial LSU rRNA". It matches the Rfam family "Bacterial large subunit ribosomal RNA", at positions 1564 to 2810 of the family's 2925-position model. The record is from RNAcentral.